AUGUUACUCCCUCCAAUCCAUAUCGCUUGUCUUAGAUUUGUCUAGAUAUAGAUACAGAUGUAUCUAGACAAAUCUAAGACAAGCGAUAUGGAUCGGAGGGAGUAUUAA
Triticum urartu is the source of this 108-nucleotide non-coding RNA. NCBI's taxonomy places the organism in Eukaryota, Viridiplantae, Streptophyta, Magnoliopsida, Poales, Poaceae. The record is from Rfam.